GAUGAUAGGAAUUUCACCACUGGCGAAUCCAAUGACAAGAAUCUGAGCACCCCAAUUCAAGAGCUUCAUAGUUUCUUUAGCAAGGUUGCCACCAACAGGAUCAUAGAGAACGUCAACCCCUUUGAGGUUCCUUGACUUGAGGAACUCCUUUACACUUGCGGUUACAUUUUGAUUCAUCAAGUCUACCACAUGAUCAACACCCAAGGACUUUAACAACUGCACCUUCUCAGCUCCCCUGAAAAAAAUAUGCAGUUUUGAUAUACCCUUGGCCUAUAAAUCCGCAAGGCUCCCAGCCAAGCCGAAGCACAUUAACUUGAGCGAUAGCAUGCUCCUCCGUCAAUAACCUCUAUGCCAUUGGGUUAGGGAUCAAGUCAAACCACGUGCAAACUCUUCAGUUUGCCAUGGUUCUGCUUACUCAAGCACUACAAAAUAUUUAUGGGGGUCCUAUCUCUCAACAGAUACCAAUGAAGCUAAUAAUCUAAGGGAGAAAAAAAGAGAAAAAAGGCACCUGGCAACAGCAAUGACAACUGCACCGCAAAUCUUGCCAAUUUGAACAGCAGCAAGGCCAACGCCUCCUGCAGCACCAAGAACCAGCAAUACCUGCAAUAGUUGCUAUCUCCUUUAGCAGUAAAACCCAGAAUUCUUUUUCAAGUUACAGUUACAUUAUAGCCUCAAUCAAAAUCAAUCAUUACAAGCACUGAACUAUCUCUUUCAACAAUAAAUCCCAUGACUUCUUUAAGUUAUAACAUAUCUAUAGUUUCAAUCAAAAUCAUUACAAGCAUUGAACUAAUUAACUCAAUAACUAACUAACCAAAAGCAAGAAAAAGGGGGACAUGCCUGAGAAGAUGUCAAGUUAGCCCUAUGAACAAGAGUUAAAUGCGAGGUCACAAAGGCAAUAGGGAGUCCAGCAGCAGCCACCAGAUCACACCCUUUCGGCACUUCAAACCUAAUCAGCAAUCAACAUUAAUUAACCAUUUUCUUUUUCAAAUUAGAAAUGAAGCCGAGAAGGGCCGAGACUGACAGUUGGGAUUGGUCUUGGACGAUGAAGGUGGCAUAGGAGCCUACAGGGGAAAAGGCACAGACGUAGUCUCCAACCUUGAACUUGCUGACGGAAGGGCCAACAGCAUUAACAAUGCCGGCAUAAUCAGAGCCUGGGAUGAAAGGCAAGGGAUGCUUCUCCUGGUACUUGCCUUGUAUCUGAAGGUAAGUACCGUAGUUCAAGCUGGUGGCCUUAACUUUGAUUCUCACUGCUGUGGGUGAGUCCAACUCGGGGAUUGGAUGGUUCCUGCUUAACUCAAUAGGCGACUCAAAUGAGGAUGUUGGAUCACCCAAUCUCUUGCACAACAGAGCUUCCAUUUUUUCUUUUUUCUGUUUAUUACAGGUAUUUUGGUUCCUACAAAGACUCUGACAACAGGGUUGAAAAAAAGGGGAAAUAUUUUAUGAACACAAUGAAGUAAAUAAAAUACUCCAAAAGUAUCUCCACUGAAUCCAAUUAGUAUCUAUCUCAUUGCCAUCAACCUCGGUAUAUCAGGAAUUGUGCCAAUGCAAAAAAAAUUGUUGAUAGUACCAUAACAGUCCUUGUACUACACCUUAGACUACAUUUUACUCUCUCUAUUGAAAAAUAAUGGCAAAUUAAUCCCUAUAUACUUAAAUAAAUAAGCAAAAUGGUUAUUAAUAAUCUACGAACAAAAAAAAAAAAAUUGGAGUGGCAUGCUUGUCUUGAUGAAUAUGAGAUGGACAGUGGUUCAUGGAUGGUAAGCUGAAUUUUUUCAUGAUAAAGAUUUUAAGGAUGAAAUUAAAAUUAUUUGUAAGUUAUGAGGGUUAAUAUUUUAAAAUUAUUACUAAAUUGAUAUAAUAUGUAAAAGUUUAGGGCUAAAUUUUUUAUUAUACAGAUUUUUAACCGCCACGUCACCCUUCCUUUAGAGGUUUAAUGGCUAAAUCUCGAAUAAUUGGGUGACUAAAUUAAAAAAAUGAUAAUUGGGUGAUAAAAAAAGAAAAGAGGCAAUAAUUGGGUUGUUUACCCAGAUAUUUUCUUAUACCAAAAUUAUAUGAAAAUAUUUAUAUAUAUACUAGGGUUUAUAUUCGAAACAUGUGGUAAUUAUUAUCAAUAAUGUCAUCUUCAAUAUUUGAACUCUUGAAAAUACAAUAAUCACACUAUUGCACUCAACGCUUGUUGAUAAUGUUAUCUAAUAGAAUCAUUUUACUUCUUCGUAUAUGUAAAAGACUAAUCUAUCUAUUUUUCAAUAAAAGGACUAAAAUGUGAUUUGUAAUAUAAUGUAGGGAUUGCUAUGUACUUUUGUCGAAAUUGUUCAAUAUUGUUAUAAUUUUACUGCUAGAAUGGGUGAUGAAAUGUGUAUUAUUAGAGGAAUGAUCGUGAGUUUAGAUAGCUCGUUCGACUGGAAUUGAAUAAUAACUUUCAUGUUUUUAUCCGACUUGGCUUGAUUCAAAUUUUGGAACCAGCCUGCUAGAUGAUUAUAUGGUUUUUUUUAAUGAAGAAGAUAAGGGUUGUUUAAGGAUUGAAUAUAGUUUCUUUCUUUAAAAAAGUAUUCUUCUUUCUCUCUAGGAAGUCCCUAUGCUGCUCUCUUGUUUUACAAUCUCAAGGUGGAGAGCAUCAAUGCCGGCAUUAGUCGAUUCUUCCAGAAAGGGCUCUGUUCCUCUGUUGCUCAAAUUUUUGAUAUCUUGGCACUUUUGUUACCUCAAACACCUCUAUUUCACUUGCUCUAUUGGACCUGUUGUUGGUUUCUCCAUUGCUGCACUGGAGGUUAGCCAGUGACCCACCCUACCAUCACUCGGAUCUCCAAGCAAAGAUCUUGAGUGGUUGAGUCCUCGGGGUUUUAAGCCUUAGUUCUUGAUUUGGUGGUGGUCAAUUCCUUGGCUGUGGAACAACUGACGCCAUCCCCUUGCAACCAUGAGCUUCUCUUGAUGCCGAACUCCAGCCAUUUUUUUAUUGGGUGAAGACUAAGCUUCGGAAUAAUAAUUUUUGUGGUCUAAGUUUGGGUUAAACUUGAAUCUUGUGGGGGCUUCACCCUUCCCAGCAGCUAGGAGUGUGGUUGUUUGGGGGGCUUGUUUUCCCUCCUAUUUUCAUUCAAGCAUUUUUUAACAGCAUUUAUGGAGACGUUAGAUAUACUGAACAAGAACAUAUGAUAUACGCAAUUUUUCAAGUUCUUUUUCUUCCUCUAAUGUCAUAUGAACUUACAUUUUCUUUUGUACCAAACAGAUCUAUAAAGGAUUAUAAACAUUAAAGCUUAGAUCUUACAGUUCCCAAAUCAUCAAAUACAAUCAUAACUUUCCCAAUUGCUUUUCCAUCUUUAAUUGCAGAGAAUGCAAGGUUGGCCUGUCAUAGACAAGGAAUCAAUAAGCUUAGAUAUAUCAACCAGAAGUAGAAAACUCGAAACUAUGCCUACAACAGUGAAAUUUUCAGAUUAUCUACUAACUUGGAAAGAAAAAGGAUAAAAUCAAUCGAAUAAAUCAAUUAAUCCCUUGUAAGUACCCAUCAUGAGAUUAAGCUAUGAGCCUAUGACAAACUACAAGCUUUCAUCAUGGAGCACAAGUAAAUUAUGAAAGUUCCGGGAAAUCAUCAGGACCUAUGUUGCUCGGACUGUUCAUUCUUUUUUAAGAACUCAUAUCGGACACUUAUGUCUAAACUCAUGGAUACGGAGAUAUAACCUCCAAGGAUCCUCCAAAUAUAUGGACAAACUUAGAAAAAUCUAACCAUAUCUGUUUAGGAUACUAACACUCGAGUCCGAGUAAUAUAUAUCUGGAUGGUUGAAACAAAACCGAUCCAUCUGCCCCAAAAUGAACAACCCAAAUGAUGCUACUUCACUUGGAUCAAGAUGUAUAUCUAAUGUGAUGAAUGGUACUUUAGUUGGUCCCAAGGCUCUAGUCACUACAUGCAACUCUAAGCAUUGGUUAAACCGGCUUUCAGCAGAGCUACUCGGAUUGUAUCAGCAUUCGGAUUUAAGACAUCAAUUUCAUACUUCCUCUAUUAUCAUAUCUGUAGUUUUCCUUUAAACAAAAGAAUAAUUCAUAAAGGAGGAAAAGGGGAAGACUGGUGAGAGCCCCUUACCUUGGAUAGGCUGUAAGUAUGAGAAAUGUGAACGGUAAUCAAGCCCUUUUCCAUCCAUGAGAUUAACUCCCGGACUGAAUCCUCGAGCACAGCCGGUUGAUGUAUUCUAUAGCUACCCCAAUAGAACCCAUGGACAAUCCAAUUCUGAGAAGAAUGAGAUACAUGCUUGAAAAUGCUAUUGAAGACGAGCAACAACAAGAAGUGCGUGUAUCGUACAACUAAUUCAUUUAACAGGUUUACCACCGAGAUCUGCCGCAUUAAAGCUAUAUUUACCAUAAACUGGUAAGGGUAGCAUAGUUUGGCAUGUGAUGGAUCGAUUUGAGAAAAAAAGAGAAAAGGUGAAGUACCUUAACAAGAAUGAUAUUAGCUGGGAUGACAGGGAUUUCACCACUGGCGAAUCCAAUGACUAGAAUCUGAGCACCCCAAUUCAAAAGCUUCCUAGUUUCUUUAGCAAGGUUGCCACCAACAGGAUCAUAGAGAACAUCAACCCCUUUGAGGUUCCUUGACUUGAGGAACUCCUUUAUACUCGCGGUUACAUAUUGAUUCAUCAAGUCUACCACAUGAUCGACACCCAAGGACUUUAAAAGCUGCACCUUUU
This 4664-nucleotide long non-coding RNA is filed under the name Gossypium raimondii (Peruvian cotton). Its description in RNAcentral is "long non-coding RNA (GRAI_LNC010221)". The record is from RNAcentral. Lineage: Eukaryota; Viridiplantae; Streptophyta; Magnoliopsida; Malvales; Malvaceae.